AUCUAAUUCUAGAAAGAAAAGAUAAAGCUUUACACACUGCUUGGAAACUCGAGAUUAAGCUGGACACUCAUAAAUUGAUACUUAUAUAUGUAAGAAGAUUAGGCCGAUCAAAAUCUAAGAACAACAGCAGAGCCGCCCGCAGAAUUUACACUUCGUUGUCAAUUCAUAUAUUUGGGGCUGUACCUUCAGAGGCAAAAGGAUUUUAAAAACAUUGAGUAGAAGACUGAAUAUCUUAAGAAGCUGUAAUCUGGAAAAGAGAAAUACUUUAAAUUGCUAGCAUUUCAUUGCAUUCGUUGAUCCUUUACCGAGAGCCGCCACAAAUAUGCAUUCAGAAAAUAAUGAUGCUGGAGCAAUAGAUAUGGUCGGACAAACACAAAUGGAAUUCGACACACCAGCUCUUUACUCAAGUGAGACGCAGAAUACCCGUACACUUGAAGAGAUACAACGGAGUUGGCUGCUAAACCCAAAAUCAUGAGUGUCUAGGAGCAGGCACAUUGAUUUGGGGUGCAUGAUAUGUAGCCGAAGAGCAUUCAAGUGGAUGAUGUGGUUGUUGAUAGUUGCAGUUUUUGUCAUCGUCGCACCAACCAUCAUGACGAGGAGUUUGCCACAUCAUCACCCCAAGUCACGCAUUCCAGAUAACUAUACAACUGCUCUACAUAAAGUGCUUUUUUCUUUAAUGAACAAAAGUGAAUUAUUUAUUUAUAUAUUGUUUAUGUUGCUUCACAUAAGCUGCAAUCUGUAUUUACAAAUUUGUAAAUUUUGCAUUUGGGACUCCCCAAGAACAAUUAUGGGAUAAGAUGGAGAAGAGAUUCAGGGAUACAAGAUGGAAAUGUAAUGGAUGGAGGACUUGUUGGAGGAUACCACGAUACUGGUGACGAUGCAAAGUAUUAUUUCCCGGUGUCAUUUAUGAUGAUAAUGCUAAGUUAGAGUGUCAUAGAGUAUGAAGGCAAUUUCAAGACGGUGGAAGAGUAUGACCACAUCAGAGAGCUCGUCAAAUAUGAAUCAGUUUAUGAUUUUUAGGAUUUGAUAUUUUUUUUCUACUUA
Long non-coding RNA from Daucus carota subsp. sativus, 1044 nucleotides. RefSeq lists it as uncharacterized. The transcript is spliced from 3 exons. Lineage: Eukaryota; Viridiplantae; Streptophyta; Magnoliopsida; Apiales; Apiaceae. The record is from RefSeq and is a predicted model, not a curated record.